Molecule: RNA transcript, 3781 nt
Organism: Microplitis mediator
Lineage: Eukaryota; Metazoa; Arthropoda; Insecta; Hymenoptera; Braconidae
Exons: 3
Source: RefSeq, a predicted model, not a curated record
UAUUUUAUCUCCAAUGCCAAGUAUUAAAAAUAAUCAUCAUCAUCAUCAGCUAUACAUUGAGACACGUAAAAAUAUCCGAGCCAAUCAAAUUUUUUUUCACUGAUGUCCGUCUUAAAAAUAAAUUUGACCGAUAAGUAAAAUAAUUAUUAUUACUACAAAAAAUGAUGGACGUUUCAAUAACAAUUGUAAUAGCAGUAGCAGUAAUAGCAAUUAUUAUUUUUGUAAUAACCGCAGUCAGUUACAGUGCAAAUCCUAAUGAACUGCCUGAUAAUGAAGUGAUUGCUUCUGGGGAAAAUUUAGAAGAAAAUCCUGAUCGCCGUCAAGAAAGAAGAGAACGAGUGGUUUUGAAUCAGUCUAGUAAUCCGCCGCCUGAUCCCUCGCCAAAUAUUUUUUUAUGCUGCAUUGAUUGCAAUCAUGGACAUGAUUAUCAUCAUAAUCAUCAUGAGAUUCAUGACGGAGAUUGUGACUGCGAUUGCUGCGAUGGUUGUGACUGUGAUGAUGGAUGCGCGGGUUGUUUCGAUUAGAUAAAUUUAAAAAAAAAAAAAUUAUAAUUAUUAUAUUUAACCAUAAGAUAAUUAAUUUUUUAUAAUUACGUCGGGUUCUUCCGUGUCAAGUACAGUACUAAUGAUGAUCUUGAAGUUAGCAGACUAGUAAACAUUUUCGUAUUUUUUUUUUUAACGAAUCAAUUAAAAAAAAAAAAAAAAAAAAAAAAAAAAAAAAAAAAUGCACAUGUAGAAAAUUAAAAAAACUACAAGUGCAAUUUUUUUGAAUAUUUUUUUUUAUAAUUUAUCGUUUUUUAAAAUUCAAAAAUUAUUAGACGUCGGCUAACUUCAGUAUUAUUAAUAAUGACAAUUAAUUUUAAAUUAUAAAAAUAAUAAAAAUUUUUAUUUAUUUUUAUAGAAUAAUUUACUGCUAUUUAUAUAACAUUUAUUUUUUGAUAAUGGAAUUUUAAAAUAAAAUAAUCGAACAGCUUUAAUUAAUUUUUUUCAUUGUUAAGGGCGUGGUCUAGUUCGUAGGCUAAAAAAAUAGUCUAUUUUUGGGAAUUUCUUGCGAGCUUGCUAUGAAAGAUAAGUAUACAAACACUGUUAGGGAUGAUAAAUGAAGUCUUGAAUUAUAAAAAAAAAAAUUAUUUUAAUUCAUUUUUAUAAGUAUGUUCAUACAAAAGGUGUACUCUAACAGAGCGCCAUAAUUUAAAAGCAGGUCAGCUCAAUCUCGAUAUUUCAGCAACGGCUUAUCUGAAACAAAAAAAUCGAAGUGUUUCAAAUUCGGUAUGACAGUGGCUACGAGAUAGACUAACGAUAUUAAUUUUGGACCAUUCUUACUAAUUUUAUCUAACGAAAAUUUAACAAAAUGAAAAAAAGUGUUUUUUUUCGCUGUUAUUUGUAAAAAAAAAUUAGUUAAAAUCAAAAUUUUUCUAUGAUUUUAGUCUAUCCUGUAAGUACUUAUGUGUAGAAUAUGUGGUUAAAAUUUCAAAAGGAUCAGCCCUCGGGUUCCAGAGAAAUCGUGAUUGGCGUCGGCGAAAUCGUAGUUUCGAAAUAAACGCGUUUAAAGUUUUUUUAAAUAAAAAAAAAAUCUUACCAAAAUUUAAUCUGCGAUGCCUGCACUAUACGAAGUGCCUUUUUCUUGUUCAAAACUUUCGUUUGCUUCUAAUUUGGCCUUUUUCCGUUCUGCACUCUCUUGAUGUGUCCAAGCUGUGGCAGUUCACAUAUUCGAUACGCGUAAAAUUGUGUUUGUCGACCUUUAGAUUCAGAAAAAUACACUUAAACUGCUCGGAUCUCCAUAAAAAUUUGGCACAAUAUGCUUGGAUACAUAUACAUUAAAAAAAUGUAAAAAAACAAAAAAGAUUUUUCAAAAAUGACCAACUAGACUACACCCUCAAACUUGACUGUAGAACAAUAUUUGUAAAAUAUAUGAACGGAAUUCAUGAGUAGUAGGCCACUGUGAGGCCAAUUUCGGAUACUGGAAAAAUAAUUUUAUUCAAAUAUUUAAUAAUUUCAUCGGCCCUGACUUUUCCCUAAGGGUCGCAAAUACAAACAGUGAAUGCGUAGUAAGUGAGAACAUAAACUUGAGAAUAAUUUCUUAGUUAUCGAUGUGUUUAUCUGAUUUAUUCAUUGUUUACUUCUAUAAAAGUAUUCAAAGAGACAAUUUUUUAUCAAUUAAUACAAUGAAGCAGCUACAGCUACAUUUCUUUUGUUAUACUCUAUACUGCGUGCGCACAAAAGACGCGCAGAAUGGACGUGGUCGCCCGCAAGAGAAAUACGGAGAGACGCCAUCUGUCUCACGAUAUUUGAACGACUUUCACUUACAGGGACCGACUAUGAAGUAUUAAAUAUAUGUGAUAAAUAUCUACAUAUGAUAAGUGAAAAAUCAUUACAUUGCAUCACAUCCUAGACUGUUUUCACUUGAACAUUCAUUGUUGUAAACACGUGUGUUAUGUGGACAUGUGUGCGGUUAGCUAUUGAGUUUUAUGGUGUAAUUAGUUUUUUUUUAUGAUAAUAUAUAUUUUUUUAAUAAUAAACUCGUAUAGAAACGAUAAAUUAAAAUAAUUUGAUUUGAAGAAAAAUAUUCAGUGCAAAAGAACUAAUUUUAUUAUAUUAAAAUUAGUAUUUAAAAAAGAAUUAGUAUUGCUAUCAUAGAACCCAAUUAUGUCAACUGAAAAAAAAGAAGAAAAAUACACAAAAAUUUCAGCAGCCAAAGAAGACAAUUCAUCUCCGAAGGAAAAUAACUCAGCAGAAUCUGAAUCAACUCCUGGAUUACUGCUUCCUGAUGGAGAAAUAAAUUGGGACUGUCCUUGCUUGGAUGGAAUGGCAUCAGGACCCUGCGGUUCAGAGUUCAAAAAUUCGUUUUCUUGUAUGUUUACGUCUGCAGAAGGACAAAAUGAUGCGGAUUGUCUUGUAGCCAUUAAAACAUUAUUCUCAUGUAUGGCCAAACAUCCUGACUACUAUCGCGACAAAGGUUUUUCUGAUGAUAUUUUGGAGAUGGAUGAACAACCAGAGACAAAUUCAACGAACAAUGAAAAAGACAGUGAAACUAAAUCAAAAUAGUUGACUGUUUAGAAUUAUCUAGUCAAUAUUGUUCUUAUAAUUAAUUAAAUAAAUAUUGUAUUGUAAAAAAAUUUUAUUACCCGGGAAUUAUAAAAUACUUCAAAAACUAUAACAGAUACUUUAAUUUUAUUUAUUUGUAUAUGUCAUAUGUUAAUUAAUGUGAAAAUUUUGUUACUUGAAUUCCCACAAGAGAUUUUGAUCCCACGGUCAAAUAAAAUUAUUAUCUAAUAUACUAAUAUUUCAAAUGAACUACAACUCAGAUUACAGCGGAAAGUAAAUUGUUGUGUUAGCAUGGUGGCCACAUUUCUGGAAAAUCUGGAAAUGUCAGGGAAUUAUAAAUAUACUGGAAAAGUCAGGGAAAUGUCAGGGAAUUUCGUCACAAAGCUGGAAAAAUUUUCACUUUCUUUCUUUUGACUGAAAAAAUCCUCCAAAUUUAGUUUUCUGUCAAAACUGUUCAAGAAGUGACGCGGCGCGAAUGCGGUUGUAAAACCAUGUGGAAAAAAAUUAGUAGAAAUUGAUUCCAAUAGCGAAAAAAUGAAGCAGUUAGAAUUAUCAAGGCUGUUAGAAAAAAAAAGUCUUAGUAGAAACCAAUCGCCAGGAUCUUCAAGCUAUUAACAUCCAUAUUGACAAGUUAAAAAACUAAAAACAUUAAAUGUAUACAUAAGUAAUAAACUAAUAAGUUUCACUAUAUUUAUUAUUCGCGUACUUCAUUAAUACUUUAUUAAUAUUCUAUGAAA